RNAcentral lists this ribosomal RNA (253 nucleotides) under uncultured bacterium. Its description in RNAcentral is "partial 16S ribosomal RNA". It matches the Rfam family "Bacterial small subunit ribosomal RNA", at positions 524 to 776 of the family's 1533-position model. The record is from RNAcentral.
UACGUAGGGAGCGAGCGUUGUCCGGAAUUACUGGGCGUAAAGGGUGCGUAGGCGGCGAAGCAAGUCAGAUGUGAAAUCCCCGGGCUUAACUCGGGGGGUGCAUUUGAAACUGCAUUGCUUGAGUGCAGGAGAGGAAAGCGGAAUUCCUAGUGUAGCGGUGAAAUGCGUAGAUAUCGGGAAGAACACCAGUGGCGAAGGCGGCGGCCUGGACAGAACCUGACGCUGAGGCACGAAAGCUGGGGGAGCGAACAGG